UUUGAAAUCAGAGGGCUUUCACAGCAGGGAAAUCAAAUGGGAAUUAAACUCAAGUGCAUUUAUUUAACAGAAAAGAGCAGGGAGGUUGUCACGAAUGAGCAUGAAACAUUUAUUGAGGUUCCUGUGAACAGAGGCUUGGCCACACAGCCUCUCUUACAUUAGUACAUGCACAGAGACAAUCCCUCUGCCACUCUCACUGUAACAGGAGAUAUAACGGAGCAGUUUCUUUUCCCACCAGACCGACUGUUGCUUUGCAAAUCAUUGCAAACCUCAAAGCUGCAGAGGGAACAUGCCCACAGGACUGUGUGACCUCAGCAUGGGCUACGCGGCAGCCACCUGCUGGGAAGAGCUAAGGAGUGUCCAAAUGCUUUGUGUGGCAAAUCAAAGUCAGCUGAACAGCCUGAUUAACCUGCUGGGGAGGUUAGAAGAGGCAGAUGGGUGGCAGCAGAAAGAUUGGACUGAGAGGGAGAGCUAUGUUGGGCUGCUCCUUGAACGAUGCUAGAAAUAACACGUCUGGAUACCUAGGAGGAUCUCAGUCUCUGUGCUGAUCCUUGCAGCACUGUGGUUACUGCACAGCGUGUCUGCAGCACGAGUCAGCUCUGACAGGCAGUGAUGCUUUUCUGCAGUUGCUGGCUUUAAGAGUGCCAAACCUGAAACCUCUGAUCUGGAAUGUGAUUUGCAAAUCCACCCAAGCAGAUACUUCUGGAGAGAUGAAGCACAGUCAGAAGUUGGAUCCAACCUUUUUCCAGAAAUGGGGUUGGAUGUGAGGUGAGACUUGAUUUUUAUGUUGUGUGAUCAUAAAAGCUUAGAUUUUCAAGGCAUGUAAAUCAUUUAACUCUUGUCAGAUGCUCUAAGCUUUCUUAAACAUGACAUGCACAAAUCAUUAGGAACAUCCAGAUUGUAAUCUAGAGCUUAUAAUCACAAGCCUGGUUGAGUUUGC
Molecule: long non-coding RNA, 940 nt
Filed under: Anas platyrhynchos platyrhynchos (common mallard)
Lineage: Eukaryota; Metazoa; Chordata; Aves; Anseriformes; Anatidae
Description: lncRNA (ENSAPLG00000021346.1)
Source: RNAcentral